AGAGUUUGAUCCUGGCUCAGGAUGAACGCUGGCGGCAUGCCUAAUACAUGCAAGUCGAACGAGGGUCCUUCGGGACUCGAGUGGCGAACGGGUGAGUAACACGUAGGGAACCUGCCCGUGCGACCGGGAGAACUUUCGGAAACGGAAGCUGAUACCGGAUAGGGACAGAGACGGCAUCGACUCUGUGUUAAAGGAGCCGAAAGGCUCCGCGCACGGAUGGACCUGCGGUGCAUUAGCUAGUUGGUGAGGUAACGGCCCACCAAGGCGACGAUGCAUAGCCGGCCUGAGAGGGCGGACGGCCACACUGGGACUGAGACACGGCCCAGACUCCUACGGGAGGCAGCAGUAGGGAAUUUUCGUCAAUGGGCGCAAGCCUGAACGAGCAAUGCCGCGUGAACGAGGAAGGUCUUCGGAUCGUAAAGUUCUGUUGAAGGGGAAAAAGAGCGGAGAGAGGAAAUGGUCUCCGAUUGAUAUUACCCUUCGAGGAAGUCACGGCUAACUACGUGCCAGCAGCCGCGGUAAUACGUAGGUGGCGAGCGUUAUCCGGAAUGAUUGGGCGUAAAGGGUGCGUAGGCGGCCUGCUAAGUCUGGAGUGAAAGGUACCCGGCUCAGCCGGUACAGGCUCUGGAAACUGGCGGGCUAAAGAGCAGGAGAGGGCGGUGGAACUCCAUGUGUAGCGGUAAAAUGCGUAGAUAUAUGGAAGAACACCAGUGGCGAAGGCGGCCGCCUGGCCUGUUACUGACGCUGAGGCACGAAAGCGUGGGGAGCAAAUAGGAUUAGAUACCCUAGUAGUCCACGCCGUAAACGAUGAGGACCAAGUGUUGGGGAAGACCCAGUGCUGCAGUUAACGCAGUGAGUCCUCCGCCUGGGGAGUAUGCACGCAAGUGUGAAACUCAAAGGAAUUGACGGGGGCCCGCACAAGCGGUGGAGUAUGUGGUUUAAUUCGAAGCAACGCGAAGAACCUUACCAGGCCUUGACAUAGGGUGCGAAGGUAUAGAGAUAUACUGGAGGUUAACAUCCAUACAGGUGGUGCAUGGUUGUCGUCAGCUCGUGUCGUGAGAUGUUCAGUUAAGUCUGGCAACGAGCGCAACCCUCGUGAUGUGUUACCAAUAUCGAGUUAGGGACUCACAUCAGACUGCCGGUGAGAAACCGGAGGAAGGCGGGGAUGACGUCAAAUCAUCAUGCCCCUUAUGGCCUGGGCUACACACGUACUACAAUGGCGGCGACAGAGGGCAGCGAGCCUGCGAAGGCAAGCGAAUCCCAAAAAAGCCGUCCCAGUUCGGAUUGGAGUCUGCAACCCGACUCCAUGAAGUUGGAAUCGCUAGUAAUCGCGGAUCAGCAUGCCGCGGUGAAUACGUUCUCGGGCCUUGCACUCACCGCCCGUCA
RNAcentral lists this ribosomal RNA (1386 nucleotides) under uncultured bacterium. RNAcentral describes it as "16S ribosomal RNA". It matches the Rfam family "Bacterial small subunit ribosomal RNA". The record is from RNAcentral.